This is a long non-coding RNA of Canis lupus familiaris (dog), 952 nucleotides long. RefSeq lists it as uncharacterized. The record is from RefSeq and is a predicted model, not a curated record. NCBI's taxonomy places the organism in Eukaryota, Metazoa, Chordata, Mammalia, Carnivora, Canidae. The transcript is spliced from 3 exons.
CUUUUGUCUUGGGAAGAAUAUUUUAAUGGACCUUUUGGAUCUGCAAAGCCAAAACAAAAAACAAACCCAAACCCUAUCUUAGAGUGGAAGAAUACAGGCCCAUCGAGGAGGUAACCACACUAUAUAAUAAGGAUCUACCAGGAGGUGUUAAGGUGGGAGAGAGCAGAAAACACUGGCAUGCAGAAGUUCUUCUCUGCUCAGCACAUAAGAAGGAAGAAGCUGCUGCAGCCCAAACUGUCCCAACAGGCUGAAUGCUGUGAACCAGGUUUGCGACAAGAACACAUCAAAACUGGCUGGCAGGAUCAAGGACACCCAAGUCAAGGGAAUAGGAAGGAAGUUUAGAAGGGGGCCCACCAACCCCAAGUACCUUCAAAAGGAACUGCUACGUGGUAAAUCCCAAGUGGUCCCUCGAGGCUUGCUUCUUCAUGGAAGAAGGUUGCAUUGAGUCCUGCCACUUCAAAGGUCAGCCCCUCCGGGAUGCCAUGAGCCACCGAGACAUUGACCAGUAGGUCUUGUCCAAGCUCCAAGUGGUCAGAACCCAAGGAGGCCUGUAGCCCUGACAGAGGCUCCAUGAAGUAGACUGUGAUGUUUCUGGAAGGUGCAGCGGUGGUGGUGUUGCUGGUGGCUCGGAUCUCCAGGUGGUGUAUCCCUGGGCCCAUCCGUUGUUGGGCUGCUCUGUCCAGGGUCAGAUUGUAGGGUAGCAAGCCCCUCGGCGUGGUGAACUCAGCCAGGGUUGUGUUACCCAACAGCACAGUGUAAGUUACCCCUGUUCCUAUGUGUGGCAAGAAAUAUUUGAGAAUGUUGGCAACAACCAUGCCAUAGAUUGUACCGAGAUAGUCAAGACUCAAGCUCUGAGGUCAGAUUUUUGGAUGUAGAUAGGGACAUGGUAUUGCCAUAAAGACAUAUGGAAGGAUAAGAUCCAACCCCAAGUAUUAACAGUGAUUAUCUCUGA